Poecile atricapillus (Black-capped chickadee) is the source of this 580-nucleotide long non-coding RNA. RefSeq lists it as uncharacterized. NCBI's taxonomy places the organism in Eukaryota, Metazoa, Chordata, Aves, Passeriformes, Paridae. The record is from RefSeq and is a predicted model, not a curated record. The transcript is spliced from 2 exons.
AGUAAGAGAUCAGAGUAAUUAUUCAGAAAAAUUAGAAAAUAACACACAAGUAACAACUACAGUAGAGACACCCCAAGAAUAUGGAAAUGAAGUUCUUUGGAAAAUAUUACAAGCUACUUUUAAAGUAUUAAAUGAUACACACCCAAAUUUAACUAGAGAAUGUUGGUUAUGUUAUAACAUUAACCCACCCUUUUAUGAGGCCAUAGGUUCCACAGCAGAACCAAAAAGAGUAAAUGGCACUAAUCCUGCUGCCUGUUUAUGGAAAUCGGGAAGAGAAAACACUCCAGGAAUAACAUUAUCUAGAGUCACUGGAAAAGGGAAUAGUGAAGAAAGGUUACAGGAAGAUAAGGAAAAGACCGAACGAGCAGACCCAUAGACCGAUGAAGGAGCAUGCGUAGAAAGACCCGAGGAAGGACACGUCAUCGGGGAAGCCCGGAGAGCCGGACUGAUUAAAAGGAGACACACGAAAAACGGAGGCACGGCCGCGGAAAAGCGGGAUCGCUUUCCGGCUGUCCAGCGCUGUAUUUUGCUUAUUGCUUGCUUGCUAUAAUUAAUAAAAUUUCCCUUUAUUAACUUUAAA